GAUGAAGAACGUAGCGAAAUGCGAUAAGUAAUGUGAAUUGCAGAAUUCAGUGAAUCAUCGAAUCUUUGAACGCACAUUGCGCCCGCCAGUAUUCUGGCGGGCAUGCCUGUUCGAGCGUCAUUUGUACCUUCAAGCUUUGCUUGGUGUUGGGUGUUUGUCCUGAGGGACUCGCCUUAAAGUAAUUGGCAGCCAGUGUUUGGUUUUGAAGCGCAGCACAAGUCGCGAUUCAAAGCUAUACGCCCGCUUCCACAAGCCUUUUUCACUUUUGACCUCGGAUCAGGUAGGGAUACCCGCUGAACUUAAGCAUAUCAAUAAGCGGAGGA
RNAcentral lists this unclassified non-coding RNA (323 nucleotides) under soil metagenome. RNAcentral's name for it is "partial contains 5.8S ribosomal RNA, internal transcribed spacer 2, and large subunit ribosomal RNA". The stretch from base 1 to 120 matches the Rfam family "5.8S ribosomal RNA", at positions 35 to 154 of the family's 154-position model. The record is from RNAcentral.